This 138-nucleotide long non-coding RNA is filed under the name Capra hircus (goat). RNAcentral describes it as "lncRNA (ENSCHIG00010017427.1)". Lineage: Eukaryota; Metazoa; Chordata; Mammalia; Artiodactyla; Bovidae. The record is from RNAcentral.
UUCAUCAGAAUGAGGCAGCAUGGCUGGCACUAGGAAUAUGGAAACUCAAAUCAGUCUUUGAUCUUAAGGAACUCACAUUCUAGUGGAGAGAAAGACAAGCACACAGAUGUAUAUGAAUCUGUGGAUCCUUUUUCAGAA